Periophthalmus magnuspinnatus is the source of this 82-nucleotide non-coding RNA. NCBI's taxonomy places the organism in Eukaryota, Metazoa, Chordata, Actinopteri, Gobiiformes, Gobiidae. The record is from the annotation of a RefSeq genome assembly.
GUUGUUGUGGCUGAGCGGUUAAGGUGAUGGACUCGAAAUCCAUUGGGGGUUCCCUGCACAGGUUCGAAUUCUGCCAACAAUA